UGGGGAAUUUUGGACAAUGGGCGCAAGCCUGAUCCAGCCAUUCCGCGUGAGUGAAGAAGGCCUUCGGGUUGUAAAGCUCUUUCAGCAGGAACGAAACGGUGGGUCUUAAUACGGCCUGCUAAUGACGGUACCUGCAGAAGAAGCACCGGCUAACUACGUGCCAGCAGCCGCGGUAAUACGUAGGGUGCGAGCGUUAAUCGGAAUUACUGGGCGUAAAGCGUGCGCAGGCGGCGACAUAAGACAGAUGUGAAAUCCCCGGGCUCAACCUGGGAACGGCGUUUGUGACUGUGUGGCUAGAGUGUAGCAGAGGGGGGUGGAAUUCCACGUGUAGCAGUGAAAUGCGUAGAGAUGUGGAGGAACACCGAUGGCGAAGGCAGCCCCCUGGGUUAACACUGACGCUCAUGCACGAAAGCGUGGGGAGCAAACA
RNAcentral lists this ribosomal RNA (427 nucleotides) under uncultured Sulfuritalea sp. RNAcentral describes it as "partial 16S ribosomal RNA". It matches the Rfam family "Bacterial small subunit ribosomal RNA", at positions 355 to 774 of the family's 1533-position model. Lineage: Bacteria; Pseudomonadati; Pseudomonadota; Betaproteobacteria; Nitrosomonadales; Sterolibacteriaceae. RNAcentral also lists the same sequence under 1 other name. The record is from RNAcentral.